UAUAUUGAAUGGCAUCAUUCGAUAUUGAAAACUCCGGUGGAUAGAGAUGGGCACGCGCAAGAUUAGAUAGUUGGUGAGGUAACGGCUCACCAAGUCUGCGAUCUUUAGGGGGCCUGAGAGGGUGAUCCCCCACACUGGUACUGAGACACGGACCAGACUCCUACGGGAGGCAGCAGUGAGGAAUAUUGGACAAUGGGUGAGAGCCUGAUCCAGCCAUCCCGCGUGAAGGACGACGGCCCUAUGGGUUGUAAACUUCUUUUGUAUAGGGAUAAACCUAGAUACGUGUAUCUAGCUGAAGGUACUAUACGAAUAAGCACCGGCUAACUCCGUGCCAGCAGCCGCGGUAAUACGGAGGGUGCAAGCGUUAUCCGGAUUUAUUGGGUUUAAAGGGUCCGUAGGCGGAUCUGUAAGUCAGUGGUGAAAUCUCACAGCUUAACUGUGAAACUGCCAUUGAUACUGCAGGUCUUGAGUGUUGUUGAAGUAGCUGGAAUAAGUAGUGUAGCGGUGAAAUGCAUAGAUAUUACUUAGAACACCAAUUGCGAAGGCAGGUUACUAAGCAACAACUGACGCUGAUGGACGAAAGCGUGGGGAGCGAACAGGAUUAGAUACCCUGGUAGUCCACGCCGUAAACGAUGCUAACUCGUUUUUGGGAUUUAGGUUUCAGAGACUAAGCGAAAGUGAUAAGUUAGCCACCUGGGGAGUACGUUCGCAAGAAUGAAACUCAAAGGAAUUGACGGGGGCCCGCACAAGCGGUGGAUUAUGUGGUUUAAUUCGAUGAUACGCGAGGAACCUUACCAAGGCUUAAAUGGGAAAUGACAGGUUUAGAAAUAGACUUUUCUUCGGACAUUUUUCAAGGUGCUGCAUGGUUGUCGUCAGCUCGUGCCGUGAGGUGUUAGGUUAAGUCCUGCAACGAGCGCAACCCCUGUCACUAGUUGCCAUCAUUAAGUUGGGGACUCUAGUGAGACUGCCUACGCAAGUAGAGAGGAAGGUGGGGAUGACGUCAAAUCAUCACGGCCCUUACGCCUUGGGCCACACACGUAAUACAAUGGCCAGUACAGAGGGCAGCUACACAGCGAUGUGAUGCAAAUCUCGAAAGCUGGUCUCAGUUCGGAUUGGAGUCUGCAA
Molecule: ribosomal RNA, 1125 nt
Filed under: Chryseobacterium sp. MYb328
Lineage: Bacteria; Pseudomonadati; Bacteroidota; Flavobacteriia; Flavobacteriales; Weeksellaceae
Description: bacterial SSU rRNA
Rfam family: Bacterial small subunit ribosomal RNA
Source: RNAcentral